CCUGAAAGACAGUGAACUAUGCCUGGGCAGGACAAAGCCAGAGGAAACUGGUCCGUAGCAAUCCUGACGUACAAAUUGGUCAUCCGACCUGGGUAUAGGGGUGAAAGACUAAUUGAACCAUCUCUGG
Molecule: non-coding RNA, 127 nt
Filed under: Otolemur garnettii (small-eared galago)
Lineage: Eukaryota; Metazoa; Chordata; Mammalia; Primates; Galagidae
Description: Eukaryotic large subunit ribosomal RNA
Rfam family: Eukaryotic large subunit ribosomal RNA
Source: Rfam by way of RNAcentral